GGCAUUGAGUGCUUGCACUCUUUGGACGUCGACCGGCGCACGGGUGAGUAACGCGUAUCCAACCUUCCCAUUACUGUGGGAUAACCUGCCGAAAGGCAGACUAAUACCGCAUAGUCUUCGAUGACGGCAUCAGAUUUGAAGUAAAGAUUUAUCGGUAAUGGAUGGGGAUGCGUCUGAUUAGCUUGUUGGCGGGGUAACGGCCCACCAAGGCGACGAUCAGUAGGGGUUCUGAGAGGAAGGUCCCCCACAUUGGAACUGAGACACGGUCCAAACUCCUACGGGAGGCAGCAGUGAGGAAUAUUGGUCAAUGGACGGAAGUCUGAACCAGCCAAGUAGCGUGCAGGAUGACGGCCCUAUGGGUUGUAAACUGCUUUUGUAUGGGGAUAAAGUUAGGGACGUGUCCCUAUUUGCAGGUACCAUACGAAUAAGGACCGGCUAAUUCCGUGCCAGCAGCCGCGGUAAUACGGAAGGUCCAGGCGUUAUCCGGAUUUAUUGGGUUUAAAGGGAGCGUAGGCUGGAGAUUAAGUGUGUUGUGAAAUGUAGACGCUCAACGUCUGAAUUGCAGCGCAUACUGGUUUCCUUGAGUACGCACAACGUUGGCGGAAUUCGUCGUGUAGCCGGUGAAAUGCUUAGAUAUGACGAAGAACUCCGAUUGCGAAGGCAGCUGACGGGAGCGCAACUGACGCUUAAGCUCGAAGGUGCGGGUAUCAAACAGGAUUAGAUACCCUGGUAGUCCGCACAGUAAGCGAUGGAUGCCCGCUGUUGGUACCUGGUAUCAGCGGC
RNAcentral lists this ribosomal RNA (783 nucleotides) under uncultured Prevotellaceae bacterium. RNAcentral's name for it is "bacterial SSU rRNA". It matches the Rfam family "Bacterial small subunit ribosomal RNA", at positions 68 to 847 of the family's 1533-position model. The record is from RNAcentral. Lineage: Bacteria; Pseudomonadati; Bacteroidota; Bacteroidia; Bacteroidales; Prevotellaceae.